RNAcentral lists this unclassified non-coding RNA (700 nucleotides) under Bombus terrestris (buff-tailed bumblebee). RNAcentral's name for it is "misc RNA ENSBTSG00005034606.1". Lineage: Eukaryota; Metazoa; Arthropoda; Insecta; Hymenoptera; Apidae. The record is from RNAcentral.
AUCCAAUUUCGAUAGAUACAAAUAAAGAAUAUCCUAGAAAGAGACCUGCAAUACCACCGAACGAUACAAGUAAAUCUAAAUAACCAAAUCGUACUUCUCUCUUGUAGAGAGCUGUUGGCCAUUUUCUCAACAUAACUCGAUUCGUAUUUUUAGCAGAAUUUUGUAUUUGCGUUACGCUAUACGACGCAUGGUCGCAAGAUAGCCAACAGCUACAUUGAGUUAUAUCGAUCUUAACGUUAUUGAAACAGGAAUACUUUGAAAGUGGACAUUCUGUUUUACCAUCGAACGAUAGAAACCAUGGUCGCGUGGAAUCCACAAAAUAUGGAACACCAUGCAACGUGUUUUCCAAAAGAUAUUCUCUUGAUCGGAAUUUCAAACUGGAAUGUAAUUCCUUGCAUGAAGGAUUGUACUUGUAUUUCAUUUUAAACUAGUCCUGGUACCGUAUACUUCUGCAGACAUAUUACUACUAAUAUCAAAUAAGCUGAACAACAAGAUCAAAUCGACCGUUUUUUGAAUCGCAUGUUCACUUUAGAUCUAUAUUAUGCACAUUAUGCACGUAACACGAUUAAUUUAUCAGCUUGAUCAAGUAAAAGGGAACAAAAUAGGAUUAUAGAUUAAUGUGUUACAAGGCAAAGCAAUAACGCUAUUUAAAUAUUCCUUUAUAAUAAAGCGUACCACUUUUAGCUGAUCAGUGUUGUUC